GUGCUGGGGAGGCUGGGCAGGUGGAAGGCGGUUGUGCCCUGCUUGGGGAUGGGGAAGACUCUGUGGCAGUCCGCAUGCUGCUGGGUGGAAGGAGGUGGAGUUUGCUUCUGUGAUGCCAAAGAUGAUUGUUUGCUGAGCAGUGGGAAUUUGAGUCGUGUGCCGAGCGGUUAAGUAGCUUGAGCUACAAAUGCUCAUUAUGUGAGAAACAGGCUAAAAUAAGGUCUGUUUUACAUCAUAAGAGGCAUUUCCCCAGCUGCAGUAUUUUAUCUUUGUUCUGUGAGGCAUUCCCUGGUUAGUCUUCAGAGUGGGAUUUACUGGCCAGAGGAAAAGGUUUUUGAGGCACUGUUAGUGACUGCAGGAGGAAUACUACCAGUUGUCACAAAUGCUUCCCGCUCUCUGAGGAGGUUCCGCUUUCCUUAAGGAAAGGUUGGUUGGUGAUAAUAAUUGUCACUUGCUCUGGAUAUUUGCUUGUGGAGCUGAGAAAACAAACAACAACAACAACAAAGAGACACAAGGUGCGCACCAAGGAGCAACGGAGGAGGUGGGCCGAGCACUGUAAGAAGGUGUGAAGUGAUGAGCAAAGCAGGAUAUUGGCCCUGGCGGUGACUCAGGCCGGGUGCCACACGUAGCCUUGGAGGCACGAAGCCGUAUGAAGGUGAGCGGUCCGAGAAGGCACUGUACGGGCUGCCUUUGGAACAGGGGAAACAUUUGAGUUACAACCAGCAGUGAUGGCUGCAGCGUCCGUUGCUGGAACGAGCAGGAGAGUAGAACGCCACGGCCCUUUUGAGGAAGGGGCUGGUAUGGGAGAGGUUGCUGUCAAAUGGUGUGAUGCUGAUGGCUGGCACUGUUUUGAUGCAGACAGACAAGGCGCACAGCAAAGAGCGGCAGAGGUGGCGAUCAGAGUGCCAUAAGAAGGUGUCACAUUGCUGGCUAAGUUAAAGGUAUCCCUUGUGUUUUCUAAGUGGGAUGCAACCAUGGCAGCCCUAAAUGACAGAGGCCAGGUGCCGCAGGGAGCCUCGGAAGGGUGAAGCCACGUGCCGACGAGCGGUCCGAGAAGGCGCUGUGUGGCCACAUUUGGAACUGGAUGCCCGUUUGAGCAUCUUAGGUGCCACAAGCGAUGACGACCGCAGCGUCUGUCUCUGGAACGAGGAGUUUGAAGAGGAUCCAGGCAACUGCAGGAACGUCCCAGUUAGCUGAUGUGUGAUGUGCACAUUGUUGAUUGUGGAUGGAUUCAGAUCCUCAGCCCUCUGAAAGCUAAGUUGAGGGACUGUGGCUGGGGAGGGAGUGGGCUGACAAGGGGGCAAGUCUGGGGGUUGCAGGUGAGGGGUUUCAUGGUUAGCAUAGGGGAGAGGGCUGUCUGGGAGCAGUCCCAUUUGGGUGAGCCAAGAGAGCGGGUUACUUGCUAGUGCCAUGCUAGACUGUGCCGGGCAGGGCAGUUCCAGCCUGAGUCUGAGUUGUUGUGUAGCUCGUCUUCUGUGUCUUAGCCCUUCCUCCGGCUCUCAAUGCCCCUUUUGCUCUCCAGGGGCAUGGUGCGCUUCUCAGGUGCCAUCCCUAGGGUCUCUAACGCCUCUACUCAUUGGCGUAGCGCCAGUCGGGCACUUCUUUUCUUGCAUAGCAAGCUCUAUAGCGUGGAUCGGUCUUGCAUCUUGGAAAUUUCUGCUGGGUCCUCUUCUUGCAGCCUCUUCCCAGGCUGCAUUGGGACCUCGGCUCUCCAGCCAUCCCUUUUCAGGGACCAGGGCUUCUUCCCUGCAUCCUUUACAUUCUUAGGUCUUCUUGCGCAUCCAUCAUCUCGGGUUAGAUGAUAACUUCUUAUAAUAGGCCAUCACAGUCCAUUCUUUUCUGGGGUUGCCAUAGAGCUUCCUCAUCCGGGCAUUGCGCCCUGUAGGUCAUCUUGCUCGGCAGCAUUUCUGGUCUGGAAGUCCUCCUUCUUGCUGAGAGUUUUCUCUCAUCUUUGAGUUGCAUUGUGUUCUGUGUAGUGUUGGUCUGUGUGUGUGUGUCUUGGGCGUGGAACUGCUCUGCUCGGGGGUGUCGAGCCAGGGUUAGGUGGAAUAGCCAUAAGAGUGCCUGGAACCUGGUUAGCCUAUGUGUGGUGCAUAUGUCUUCUGUCCGAGAUAGCUUUCAGAGGGCCGGGGAUCUGGAACCAAG
Molecule: long non-coding RNA, 2145 nt
Organism: Grus americana (Whooping crane)
Lineage: Eukaryota; Metazoa; Chordata; Aves; Gruiformes; Gruidae
Exons: 12
Source: RefSeq, a predicted model, not a curated record